UACGUAAGGUCCGAGCGUUGUCCGGAAUCAUUGGGCGUAAAGGGUACGCAGGCGGAUAAGCAAGUUAGCAGUGAAAUCCUAUAGCUCAACUAUAGUAAGCUUUUAAAACUGCUCAUCUUGAGGUAUGGAAGGGAAAGUGGAAUUCCUAGUGUAGCGGUGGAAUGCGCAGAUAUUAGGAGGAAUACCAGUGGCGAAGGCGACUAUCUGGCCAUUUUCUGACGCUGAGGUACGAAAGCGAGGGUAGCAAACAGG
This 252-nucleotide ribosomal RNA is filed under the name uncultured bacterium. RNAcentral describes it as "partial 16S ribosomal RNA". It matches the Rfam family "Bacterial small subunit ribosomal RNA", at positions 524 to 776 of the family's 1533-position model. The record is from RNAcentral.